RNAcentral lists this ribosomal RNA (436 nucleotides) under uncultured Treponema clone RFS100p. RNAcentral describes it as "bacterial SSU rRNA". It matches the Rfam family "Bacterial small subunit ribosomal RNA", at positions 64 to 491 of the family's 1533-position model. The record is from RNAcentral. Lineage: Bacteria; Pseudomonadati; Spirochaetota; Spirochaetia; Treponematales; Treponemataceae.
GAGCGGCAAGUUGUAGCAAUACGGCUUAGAGCGGCGGACUGGUGAGUAAACGGUGGUGACAUACCUUAAGGUUGGGGAUAGCCAUUAGAAAUAGUGGGUAAUACCGAAUAUGGUUAUCGGGUUAUGACCUGGUAAAGAAAGGGGCUUCGGCCCCGCCUUGGGAUGGGCCCGCGUCCCAUUAGCUUGUUGGUGAGGUAAGAGCCCACCAAGGCGAUGAUGGGUAGCCGGCCUGAGAGGGUGAACGGCCACACUGGGACUGAGAUACGGCCCAGACUCCUACGGGAGGCAGCAGCUAAGAAUAUUCCGCAAUGGGUGAAAGCCUGACGGAGCGACGCCGCGUGGAUGAUGAAGGCCGUGAGGUUGUAAAGUCCUUUUGAACCUGACGAAUAAGCGCGGGAGGGAAUGCCCGCGUGGUGACGGUAGGGUUUGAAUAAGC